UGUAGGAGUGAGCCUGCUCGCGAUAACGGUAUGUCAGAUAACAAUUGAGUCGGCUGAUCCACCGCUAUCGCGAGCAGGCUCACUCCUACA
RNAcentral lists this unclassified non-coding RNA (90 nucleotides) under Pseudomonas moraviensis. The record is from RNAcentral. Lineage: Bacteria; Pseudomonadati; Pseudomonadota; Gammaproteobacteria; Pseudomonadales; Pseudomonadaceae.